This 497-nucleotide ribosomal RNA is filed under the name uncultured bacterium. RNAcentral's name for it is "partial 16S ribosomal RNA". It matches the Rfam family "Bacterial small subunit ribosomal RNA", at positions 28 to 507 of the family's 1533-position model. The record is from RNAcentral.
GAUGAACGCUGGCGGUGUGCCUAAUACAUGCAAGUCGAGCGAACGGACGAGAAGCUUGCUUCUCUGAUGUUAGCGGCGGACGGGUGAGUAACACGUGGAUAACCUACCUAUAAGACUGGGAUAACUUCGGGAAACCGGAGCUAAUACCGGAUAAUAUUUUGAACCGCAUGGUUCAAAAGUGAAAGACGGUCUUGCUGUCACUUAUAGAUGGAUCCGCGCUGCAUUAGCUAGUUGGUAAGGUAACGGCUUACCAAGGCAACGAUGCAUAGCCGACCUGAGAGGGUGAUCGGCCACACUGGAACUGAGACACGGUCCAGACUCCUACGGGAGGCAGCAGUAGGGAAUCUUCCGCAAAGGGCGAAAGCCUGACGGAGCAACGCCGCGUGAGUGAUGAAGGUCUUCGGAUCGUAAAACUCUGUUAUUAGGGAAGAACAUAUGUGUAAGUAACUGUGCACAUCUUGACGGUACCUAAUCAGAAAGCCACGGCUAACUACGUG